This 31-nucleotide non-coding RNA is filed under the name Rattus norvegicus (Norway rat). The record is from RNAcentral. Lineage: Eukaryota; Metazoa; Chordata; Mammalia; Rodentia; Muridae.
UCGGCUUAGCUCAGUGAUGGACUAUGAUGAG